Molecule: ribosomal RNA, 468 nt
Filed under: Centipeda infelix
Lineage: Bacteria; Bacillati; Bacillota; Negativicutes; Selenomonadales; Selenomonadaceae
Description: bacterial SSU rRNA
Rfam family: Bacterial small subunit ribosomal RNA
Source: RNAcentral
GACGAACGCUGGCGGCGUGCUUAACACAUGCAAGUCGAACGGAGCGAAUGAAAGCUUGCUUUUAUGAGCUUAGUGGCAAACGGGUGAGUAACACGUAGACAACCUGCCGACAGGAUGGGGACAACAUUCCGAAAGGAAUGCUAAUACCGAAUGAAGCGGAGGAGAGGCAUCUCUCCUCCGUGAAAGAUGGCCUCUGAAUAUGCUAUCACCUGUCGAUGGGUCUGCGUCUGAUUAGCUAGUUGGUGAGGUAACGGCUCACCAAGGCGACGAUCAGUAGCCGGUCUGUGAGGAUGAACGGCCACAUUGGGACUGAGACACGGCCCAGACUCCUACGGGAGGCAGCAGUGGGGAAUCUUCCGCAAUGGGCGCAAGCCUGACGGAGCAACGCCGCGUGAGUGAAGAAGGUCUUCGGAUCGUAAAGCUCUGUUGACGGGGACGAACGUGCGAAGGGUGAAUAAUCCUUUGUAA